RNAcentral lists this ribosomal RNA (432 nucleotides) under Triticum aestivum (bread wheat). RNAcentral's name for it is "partial small subunit ribosomal RNA". Lineage: Eukaryota; Viridiplantae; Streptophyta; Magnoliopsida; Poales; Poaceae. The record is from RNAcentral.
CCACCUCCCCCUUCCACGAUUACACCUUCGCCUCCUCCUCCUUUCCAACCACUACCUUUGCCAUCUACACUAUCCAUCUCCAAAAUCCAACAGUAUCCCUUGCAAGUCAAGUUAUUUAGUUUGGAUCCAGGGUUAUGUGGAUACAAUGGUAGCAGGUCACCUCUUAUUGAGAAAGUUCAGGUAUCAGAUGCUAUCGGUGGAAAGUCAAAUGUCCCUCAGGGAUCCACUUGUGGAAAAGUAAGACCUGUGCAUCCACAUCAACAUAUACAACUAUUUGAUGCAAGCAAUGGACUCCGUGUUGAUGCCCUCGUGGGAAGAUCGUACUGGGAAGGUGUUAUUGUUGAUCAUGUUGAAGGCUCCAUGGAGAGGAAAGUUUUUUUCCCUGAUGAAGGUCAUGAACGCAUUAUGCAGUCAAUCAGGUAUGCAUACUAA